RNAcentral lists this ribosomal RNA (1033 nucleotides) under Fusarium sp. RNAcentral's name for it is "eukaryotic LSU rRNA". It matches the Rfam family "Eukaryotic large subunit ribosomal RNA", at positions 98 to 1161 of the family's 3401-position model. The record is from RNAcentral. Lineage: Eukaryota; Fungi; Ascomycota; Sordariomycetes; Hypocreales; Nectriaceae.
GCGGCAACAGCUCAAAUUUGAAAUCUGGCUUUCGGGCCCGAGUUGUAAUUUGUAGAGGAUACUUUUGAUGCGGUGCCUUCCGAGUUCCCUGGAACGGGACGCCAUAGAGGGUGAGAGCCCCGUCUGGUUGGAUGCCAAAUCUCUGUAAAGUUCCUUCGACGAGUCGAGUAGUUUGGGAAUGCUGCUCUAAAUGGGAGGUAUAUGUCUUCUAAAGCUAAAUAUUGGCCAGAGACCGAUAGCGCACAAGUAGAGUGAUCGAAAGAUGAAAAGCACUUUGAAAAGAGAGUUAAAAAGUACGUGAAAUUGUUGAAAGGGAAGCGUUUAUGACCAGACUUGGACUUGGUUAAUCAUCUGGGGUUCUCCCCAGUGCACUUUUCCAGUUCAGGCCAGCAUCAGUUUUCGCCGGGGGAUAAAGGCUUCGGGAAUGUAGCUCUCUUCGGGGAGUGUUAUAGCCCGUUGUGUAAUACCCUGGCGGAGACUGAGGUUCGCGCUUCUGCAAGGAUGCUGGCGUAAUGGUCAUCAACGACCCGUCUUGAAACACGGACCAAGGAGUCGUCUUCGUAUGCGAGUGUUCGGGUGUCAAACCCCUACGCGUAAUGAAAGUGAACGCAGGUGAGAGCUUCGGCGCAUCAUCGACCGAUCCUGAUGUUCUCGGAUGGAUUUGAGUAAGAGCAUACGGGGCCGGACCCGAAAGAAGGUGAACUAUGCCUGUAUAGGGUGAAGCCAGAGGAAACUCUGGUGGAGGCUCGCAGCGGUUCUGACGUGCAAAUCGAUCGUCAAAUAUGGGCAUGGGGGCGAAAGACUAAUCGAACCUUCUAGUAGCUGGUUUCCGCCGAAGUUUCCCUCAGGAUAGCAGUGUUGAACUCAGUUUUAUGAGGUAAAGCGAAUGAUUAGGGACUCGGGGGCGCUAUAUUGCCUUCAUCCAUUCUCAAACUUUAANUAUGUAAGAAGCCCUUGUUGCUUAAUUGAACGUGGGCAUUCGAAUGUAUCAACACUAGUGGGCCAUUUUUGGUAAGCAGAACUGGCGAUGCGG